This 1442-nucleotide ribosomal RNA is filed under the name metagenome. RNAcentral's name for it is "bacterial SSU rRNA". It matches the Rfam family "Bacterial small subunit ribosomal RNA". The record is from RNAcentral.
AACACAUGCAAGUCGCGGGGUAACAGUGGAGCUUGCUCCAGCUGACGACCGGCGCACGGGUGCGUAACGCGUAUGAAAUCUGGCCCAGACAGGAGGACAGCCCGGGGAAACCCGGAUUAAUACUCCAUAAUACUUUUAGACACAUGUUUGGAAGUUGAAAGCUCCGGCGGUCUGGGAUGAUCAUGUGUGCCAUUAGUUAGUUGGUGAGGCAACGGCUCACCAAGACAUCGAUGGCUAGGGGUCCUGAGAGGGCUACCCCCCACACUGGUACUGAGACACGGACCAGACUCCUACGGGAGGCAGCAGUGAGGAAUAUUGGUCAAUGGGCGCAAGCCUGAACCAGCCAUGCCGCGUGCAGGAAGACUGCCCUAUGGGUUGUAAACUGCUUUUCUGCAGGAGGAAUGUGCCUAUGCGUAGGCAAUUGACAGUACUGCAGGAAUAAGCAUCGGCUAACUCCGUGCCAGCAGCCGCGGUAAUACGGAGGAUGCGAGCGUUAUCCGGAUUUAUUGGGUUUAAAGGGUGCGCAGGCUGGCAUGUAAGUCAGCGGUGAAAACCUCCAGCUUAACUGGGGGCGUGCCGUUGAUACUGCAUGUCUUGAGUAUGUUUGAUGUUGGCGGAAUGCGACAAGUAGCGGUGAAAUGCAUAGAUAUGUCGCAGAACACCGAUAGCGAAGGCAGCUGACAGAGGCAUAACUGACGCUGAGGCACGAAAGCGUGGGUAGCGAACAGGAUUAGAUACCCUGGUAGUCCACGCCGUAAACGAUGAUAGCUGGACGUUUGUGCAAUUGAGCACAAGUGUCUGAGGGAAACCAUUAAGCUAUCCACCUGGGGAGUACGCCGGCAACGGUGAAACUCAAAGGAAUUGACGGGGGCCCGCACAAGCGGUGGAACAUGUGGUUUAAUUCGAUGAUACGCGAGGAACCUUACCUGGGCUUAAAUGGUAUCUGCAUAAGCCAGAGACGGCUUUUUCCUUCACGGGACUGAUAUCAAGGUGCUGCAUGGCUGUCGUCAGCUCGUGCCGUGAGGUGUCGGGUUAAGUCCCAUAACGAGCGCAACCCCUACCGCCAGUUGCCAUCAGGUAAUGCUGGGGACUCUGGCGGGACUGCCACCGUAAGGUGCGAGGAAGGCGGGGAUGACGUCAAGUCAGCACGGCCCUUACGUCCAGGGCUACACACGUGUUACAAUGGCACCUACAGAGGGCAGCCAGGCAGCGAUGCCGAGCGAAUCUCAAAAAGGUGUCCCAGUUCGGAUUGGAGUCUGCAACCCGACUCCAUGAAGGUGGAAUCGCUAGUAAUCGCGUAUCAGCAAUGACGCGGUGAAUACGUUCCCGGGCCUUGUACACACCGCCCGUCAAGCCAUGGAAGCUGGGGGUAUCUGAAGACUGCCGCCGCAAGGAGCGGUCAAGGGUAAAACCGGUAACUGGGGCUAAGUCGUAACAAGGUA